RNAcentral lists this long non-coding RNA (1375 nucleotides) under Homo sapiens (human). RNAcentral describes it as "non-protein coding lnc-C19orf44-8:4". The record is from RNAcentral. Lineage: Eukaryota; Metazoa; Chordata; Mammalia; Primates; Hominidae.
GACACUUUCGCAGAGUGGGUCCCCGUCGCGCGGCGCCGCGGAAAGGCUGGAACGGCGCGGGUGGGUGUUAGUCGAGACCGGGGGGCGCGGGGCGUGCCCCUUGGUCGGCGUCGCAGCCCGAUGGGCUGGCUGGUUGCUACCUCCGGGCGACCAGGGGCCUGGGGACUUCGUGCCUGGGCCAGGGUCUCUUUCCUUUCGCGGGCACAGUGAGGAGACUGCGAGGUGAGGUGCGUCCGGGUGGAUCCCGGGCUGCGGCGACUGUCACAUUCUCCCCGGCCAGACCGGAGGUGGAGCAGAACUGGGGGCGACGAGCUUGACUGGGAUUGCAGCUGGACGUAUUUAGGUUCAAAACAUCCUCCUCCUGGCUUUCUUCCGCUCCACUCUUUGGUCAGGAAGACUGGGGCGGGGUACCCCCCAACCCAUGCCCUCAAAUUGCUGGCCUAGAGGGCACAGCGCCUUUCUAAAAGCUGCAGUUGGGUUGCCUCUAAAAUAAUGAAGCUAACCCUUGCUAAUUGUGGGGAAAAGAUAGCCAGAAGCAGCAAAUUUCUGCUGUGGACGUCCGAUAUAAACUGAUCCUCUUGAGAUGGUUAAUGCUUAGUUGGCUAUACCUGCCCCCCGCCCCCGCCGCUUUUUUUUCCUUUAUCCGUUUUUUUUUUUCUUUUUUCUUGAGACAAGGUCUUGCUCUGUGGCCCACGCUGGAGUGCAGUGUCAUGAUCAUAGCUCACUAGCCCUGAACUCCUGUGCUCAAGUAAUCCUCCCGCCUCGGCCUCCCAAAGUGCUAGGAUUAUAGGCAUGAGCUACUUUACCCAGCCUGUUUUUUUCUGUGCAAAUAAAUGCACAUGUAUUUUAGAUUAGUUUCAUUUUUAUUGUUAACAGCAUUUUUCCACCAGAUGCUUAUGGAUUGACAACUCUACAGUUUGAAUGUUUGUUCCUAAUCCCCAGUGAAACAGUAUUAAGAGGUGGAGCCUUUAAGAGGUGAUUGGGUUAUGAGGUCGUGCCAUUCAUGUGUUAUUGGACCCAGAAGGCAAAGGUUGAGGUGGAGGUUACAGUGAGCCAAAGUCGUGCCACUGCACUCCAGCCUGGGCAACAGAGCAGGACUCCGUUUCAAAAAAAAAAGGAAGAGAGACCUGAGCUUGCACACAGCCUGCUAGCCAUGUGAUGCCCUGUGCUACCUCAAGACUCUGCAGAGUCCCCACCAGCAAGAAGGCCCUUGAUUUUGGAUAUCUCAGCCUCCAGAACUGUAAGAAAUAAAUUUCUCUUCUUUAAAAAUUGCCCAGUCUCAGGUGUUCUUUUAUAGCGAUGCAAAAUGGACUAAGACCCAAGUCUAUUCAUAAGAGUGGAAUUCUUUUGGGGGAUAACAUUUCACUUAAUUGGG